AUUGAACGCUGGCGGUAUGCUUAACACAUGCAAGUCGAGCGGUAACAGGCCCUUCGGGGUGCUGACGAGUGGCGGACGGGUGAGUAAUGCUUAGGAAUCUGCCUAGUAGUGGGGGAUAACCCGGGGAAACUCGGGCUAAUACCGCAUACGCCCUACGGGGGAAAGGCGGGGACGUUUCGGGCCUCGCGCUAUUAGAUGAGCCU
RNAcentral lists this ribosomal RNA (203 nucleotides) under uncultured bacterium. RNAcentral describes it as "partial 16S ribosomal RNA". It matches the Rfam family "Bacterial small subunit ribosomal RNA", at positions 30 to 232 of the family's 1533-position model. The record is from RNAcentral.